RNAcentral lists this ribosomal RNA (468 nucleotides) under uncultured bacterium. RNAcentral describes it as "partial 16S ribosomal RNA". It matches the Rfam family "Bacterial small subunit ribosomal RNA", at positions 28 to 507 of the family's 1533-position model. The record is from RNAcentral.
GAUGAACGCUGGCGGCGUGCUUAACACAUGCAAGUCGAACGGACAGGCCCUGCUUUUGUGGGGUGCUCGAGUGGCGAGCGGGUGAGUAUCACGUGUGUAAACCGCCCUUGUCUUUGGGAUAUCUUCAGGAAACUGGGGCGCAUAUCGGAUAGAAGCUCUUGCUGCGUGGUGGGGGUUGGUGAGUUUCGGCUGUUGGGGCUGGACUCGCGGCUUAUCAGCUUGUUGGUGGGGUAGUGGCUUACCAAGCCUUUGACGGGUAGCCGGCCUGAGAGGGUGACCGGCCACAUUGGGACUGAGAUACGGCCCAGACUCCUACGGGAGGCAGCAGUGGGGAAUAUUGCACAAUGGGCGGAAGCCUGAUGCAGCAACGCCGCGUGCGGGAUGACGGCCUUCGGGUUGUAAACCGCUUUCGCCUGUGACGAAGCGUGAGUGACGGUAAUGGGUAAAGAAGCACCGGCUAACUACGUG